Molecule: ribosomal RNA, 2903 nt
Filed under: Yersinia pestis 3770
Lineage: Bacteria; Pseudomonadati; Pseudomonadota; Gammaproteobacteria; Enterobacterales; Yersiniaceae
Description: bacterial LSU rRNA
Rfam family: Bacterial large subunit ribosomal RNA
Source: RNAcentral
UAAGCGACUAAGCGUACACGGUGGAUGCCUAGGCAGUCAGAGGCGAUGAAGGGCGUGCUAAUCUGCGAAAAGCGACGGUAAGCUGAUAUGAAGCGUUAUAACCGACGAUACCCGAAUGGGGAAACCCAGUGCAAUACGUUGCACUAUCGUUAGAUGAAUACAUAGUCUAACGAGGCGAACCGGGGGAACUGAAACAUCUAAGUACCCCGAGGAAAAGAAAUCAACCGAGAUUCCCCCAGUAGCGGCGAGCGAACGGGGAGGAGCCCAGAGUCUGAAUCAGUUUGUGUGUUAGUGGAAGCGUCUGGAAAGUCGCACGGUACAGGGUGAUAGUCCCGUACACCAAAAUGCACAGGCUGUGAACUCGAUGAGUAGGGCGGGACACGUGACAUCCUGUCUGAAUAUGGGGGGACCAUCCUCCAAGGCUAAAUACUCCUGACUGACCGAUAGUGAACCAGUACCGUGAGGGAAAGGCGAAAAGAACCCCGGCGAGGGGAGUGAAAUAGAACCUGAAACCGUGUACGUACAAGCAGUGGGAGCACCUUCGUGGUGUGACUGCGUACCUUUUGUAUAAUGGGUCAGCGACUUAUAUUUUGUAGCAAGGUUAACCGAAUAGGGGAGCCGUAGGGAAACCGAGUCUUAACUGGGCGUCUAGUUGCAAGGUAUAGACCCGAAACCCGGUGAUCUAGCCAUGGGCAGGUUGAAGGUUGGGUAACACUAACUGGAGGACCGAACCGACUAAUGUUGAAAAAUUAGCGGAUGACUUGUGGCUGGGGGUGAAAGGCCAAUCAAACCGGGAGAUAGCUGGUUCUCCCCGAAAGCUAUUUAGGUAGCGCCUCGUGAACUCAUCUUCGGGGGUAGAGCACUGUUUCGGCUAGGGGGCCAUCCCGGCUUACCAAACCGAUGCAAACUCCGAAUACCGAAGAAUGUUAUCACGGGAGACACACGGCGGGUGCUAACGUCCGUCGUGAAGAGGGAAACAACCCAGACCGCCAGCUAAGGUCCCAAAGUCAUGGUUAAGUGGGAAACGAUGUGGGAAGGCACAGACAGCCAGGAUGUUGGCUUAGAAGCAGCCAUCAUUUAAAGAAAGCGUAAUAGCUCACUGGUCGAGUCGGCCUGCGCGGAAGAUGUAACGGGGCUAAACCAUGCACCGAAGCUGCGGCAGCGACACUUAGGUGUUGUUGGGUAGGGGAGCGUUCUGUAAGCCGUUGAAGGUGACCUGUGAGGGUUGCUGGAGGUAUCAGAAGUGCGAAUGCUGACAUAAGUAACGAUAAUGCGGGUGAAAAACCCGCACGCCGGAAGACCAAGGGUUCCUGUCCAACGUUAAUCGGGGCAGGGUGAGUCGACCCCUAAGGCGAGGCUGAAAAGCGUAGUCGAUGGGAAACAGGUUAAUAUUCCUGUACUUGGUGUUACUGCGAAGGGGGGACGGAGAAGGCUAGGCUGGCCGGGCGACGGUUGUCCCGGUUUAAGCGUGUAGGGGGAGUGACCAGGUAAAUCCGGUUGCUUAUCAACCCUGAGGCGUGAUGACGAUGCACCACGGUGCAGAAGCAGUUGAUGCCAUGCUUCCAGGAAAAGCCUCUAAGCAUCAGGUAACAUUAAAUCGUACCCCAAACCGACACAGGUGGUCAGGUAGAGAAUACUCAGGCGCUUGAGAGAACUCGGGUGAAGGAACUAGGCAAAAUGGUGCCGUAACUUCGGGAGAAGGCACGCUGGCGUUAGGUGAAAGGACUAGCUCCUGGAGCUGAAGCCAGUCGCAGAUACCAGCUGGCUGCAACUGUUUAAUAAAAACACAGCACUGUGCAAACACGAAAGUGGACGUAUACAGUGUGACGCCUGCCCGGUGCUGGAAGGUUAAUUGAUGGGGUCAGCCGCGAGGCGAAGCUCUUGAUCGAAGCCCCAGUAAACGGCGGCCGUAACUAUAACGGUCCUAAGGUAGCGAAAUUCCUUGUCGGGUAAGUUCCGACCUGCACGAAUGGCGUAAUGAUGGCCAGGCUGUCUCCACCCGAGACUCAGUGAAAUUGAACUCGCUGUGAAGAUGCAGUGUACCCGCGGCAAGACGGAAAGACCCCGUGAACCUUUACUAUAGCUUGACACUGAACAUUGAGCCUUGAUGUGUAGGAUAGGUGGGAGGCCUUGAAGUGUGGACGCCAGUCUGCAUGGAGCCAACCUUGAAAUACCACCCUUUAAUGUUUGAUGUUCUAACUCGGCCCCAUGAUCUGGGGUGAGGACAGUGUCUGGUGGGUAGUUUGACUGGGGCGGUCUCCUCCCAAAGAGUAACGGAGGAGCACGAAGGUUAGCUAAUCACGGUCGGACAUCGUGAGGUUAGUGCAAAGGCAUAAGCUAGCUUGACUGCGAGAGUGACGGCUCGAGCAGGUACGAAAGUAGGUCUCAGUGAUCCGGUGGUUCUGAAUGGAAGGGCCAUCGCUCAACGGAUAAAAGGUACUCCGGGGAUAACAGGCUGAUACCGCCCAAGAGUUCAUAUCGACGGCGGUGUUUGGCACCUCGAUGUCGGCUCAUCACAUCCUGGGGCUGAAGUAGGUCCCAAGGGUAUGGCUGUUCGCCAUUUAAAGUGGUACGCGAGCUGGGUUUAGAACGUCGUGAGACAGUUCGGUCCCUAUCUGCCGUGGGCGUUGGAAGAUUGAGAGGGGCUGCUCCUAGUACGAGAGGACCGGAGUGGACGAAUCACUGGUGUUCGGGUUGUCAUGCCAAUGGCAUUGCCCGGUAGCUAAAUUCGGAGGAGAUAACCGCUGAAAGCAUCUAAGCGGGAAACUUGCCUCGAGAUGAGUCUUCCCUGGGGCUUAAAGUCCACUGAAGGAACGUUAAAGACUAUGACGUUGAUAGGCUGGGUGUGUAAGUGCAGCGAUGUAUUGAGCUAACCAGUACUAAUGAUCCGUGAGGCUUAACCU